GCUGUACUUGCUUCUCUCGAGUGUCCCUAGCUGGCUGCAAACUUUCCCCCUCCUUGUUUCCUAACAGAGAGGAAACAGGGUUUUAAUGAUUAGAAGGUUUCGAUUUGGCCCCAGCCCCAGGCUAUCAGAUAGCGAAACGACAGACUCGAUCGCCGUUUAAAGCGUUCGAACACAAACGGAAAGUAGACAAACGAAAAGGGACGAGAGAAGAAGAGAGCUCCUCUUCUCUCCAGUGAUUUUGAUNAAGUAAUCGGCGAUCAGAUAGCGACCCAACAAACUUGAUAGCAGUUCAUUUCUAAUGAACC
This 305-nucleotide unclassified non-coding RNA is filed under the name Hevea brasiliensis (rubber tree). The record is from RNAcentral. Lineage: Eukaryota; Viridiplantae; Streptophyta; Magnoliopsida; Malpighiales; Euphorbiaceae.